RNAcentral lists this long non-coding RNA (1038 nucleotides) under Theobroma cacao (cacao). Its description in RNAcentral is "long non-coding RNA (TCAC_LNC001202)". The record is from RNAcentral. Lineage: Eukaryota; Viridiplantae; Streptophyta; Magnoliopsida; Malvales; Malvaceae.
UUUAAACUCAUUUUUCUAUAAAAUCACAAAAACGAAUAAAAACUACUUUAGAUAAUUAAGACAAUAAUAAGGUUACUCACGAUAUCGGGAGUUCGAAAUACACCUAUUCUUGGUCCCCUGGCACAAUGUCUUUACCCUUGUUAGAAGACUCACUACCUAUACACAAUACACGACAAAUAAUUCAAUAUAUUGUGUCAUGUCAUUAUAAAUCUAUUUCAGGCUCUAUAUGAAUGCAUGAGAUUGUUUGGAUAGACACUUAAAGACGGUGUUACACAUUGGUUCAAUUGUGAUCAGAAUGCAUCGAUUUUCGACCUAAUUCGAACUCUCCACCUUUGAUUUAACCAAAACAUCCAAAUUGACUCCAAUUAUAUUCAUCACACUUCCAAUGUCCCAAAAUACACCAAUGUGCCUCAAUGAGCUUGACUUUCUCAUUGUUAUUCAACUUAUUUACUAAAAGAACUAUACUUUAAAAUUACCAUUUUCUAUUUCCAUCACCACCAUUCAUUAAAUUCUAACUAAAUAACACAAGAUAACACAAGAAUCAUCUUCACUAGGUUCCUUAUGAAAUUCGGCCAUGGUGGGUGCAUAAACACUAUGGUUUUUUAUACUUGAUUUUUUUUACACCAUAAAUCAUUAGUUCCUAACCAAAUCACUUGAAAUAAAAUCAAAUCCACCAUCAACAUACCAUAAGGAAGAUUUGGCCAAUGAGGGUGAUGGAAGAACAUGAAUUUUUCUUGUUUGCUUUUCAUGCUACACAUCACCAACCAACUAAAAACACUAGAAUAACAUGUUUUCCAACUAAAUUCAACAUCAAAUCUUCUCCCCCUAGGUUCGGCCAACAAGGGAUCCAUCAUGAAAUCAUGAAUUUCAACCAUGGAAAAUUAGAAAGAAUGCUUAGGAAAGAUAGAUCUGAAGCUAAAAUUGAAAAAUCUUACCUUUUGUCACUUGAUUCCUUGAAAUUCUAAAAUUUUCUCUUGAAUUUUUCUAACUAGGGUUUUGUUCUUUCUUUCUUUCCUCUUUUCCUUAGUGAGGCCGAAC